AGAUUCCCCAGCUGCAAUCUCCUGCCAUCGGAUUGCAUCACCAACUCAACCUAAUUGAUAAGAGGUUUCACCAUGUUGCCCAGGCUGGUCUCAAACUCCUGGGCUCAAGCAAUCCAUCCACCUCAGCCUCCCGAAGUGUUGGGAUUACAGGUGUGAGCCACCAUGCCCGGCUGACUUUGCCUACUCUUGCCCUAAGAAAAUUGAAGCAAACCAAAGAGGAAUCCAGAAACUUCAAUACCACAUCUAUCCUCAACCAGAACCCACCCAAGGCCACCCUAACCGUGUACAUUGUACCCAUCCUCCUUUACUUACUCAAAGUCACCUCCCUUCUCUCUUCUGCAUCCCUAUGAUUUCCCCUUUAGUGGAUCCGCUUACAAACAUGCUAUUGUUUUUCUUCUAGCAAAACUUUACUUUGAUCCCACCUGUCUCUGUAGCUACCACGCCAUUCCUCUGGUCCCCUUUAUGAAAGAGCUCCUCAAAGAUUGUAUGUACCAACAUUUGCAGUUCGUCUCCUUUCAUUCCCUCUUAAGACCACUCAAAUCAGGCAGACCCCCUACCAGUCCAGUAAAACUGCUCUUGUCAAAGUUAUUAGGGACCUCCUUGUUGCUAAAUCCAGUAGCCUGUUCUCAGUCCUUACCUUAUUCCACCUCUCAAUAGCAUCAACACUGCUGAUCACUCCCUCCUCCAUGACUCUUUCUUCAUUUGGCUUCUAGGACACCCCACACGCUCCUGGUUUCCCACCCAUUAUCUUUUGCUGAUUCUUCCUCUUAACGUUGGAGGGCCCAGGACCCAGUCCUUGGACCUCCUCUCUGUCCCCACUGUUGCCGUUUGUCAUCUCACCAGUAUCCUGGUUUAAAUACUAUCUGAAUGCUGGCUCAAAUUUCUAUCUCUAGCCCAGACCUCUUCCUCUGAACUGCAUACUUGCAUUUCCAGUUGUUUACUUCACAUCUUCUAUGUUCAGAUCUGAAAAUCUGAACUCCUGAUCUCCCGUAAACCCCAAAGCUGAUCCCACAGUCUUGCU
This 1021-nucleotide long non-coding RNA is filed under the name Homo sapiens (human). RNAcentral describes it as "HSALNT0114651". The record is from RNAcentral. Lineage: Eukaryota; Metazoa; Chordata; Mammalia; Primates; Hominidae.